Molecule: ribosomal RNA, 218 nt
Filed under: uncultured bacterium
Lineage: Bacteria
Description: partial 16S ribosomal RNA
Rfam family: Bacterial small subunit ribosomal RNA
Source: RNAcentral
GUACUCAGUUCGGAUUGUAGUCUGCAACUCGACUACAUGAAGCUGGAAUCGCUAGUAAUCGCGAAUCAGAAUGUCGCGGUGAAUACGUUCCCGGGUCUUGUACACACCGCCCGUCACACCAUGGGAGUCGGGAAUGCCCGAAGUCAGUGACCCAACCGGAAGGAGGGGAGCUGCCGAAGGCAGGCUCGAUAACUGGGGUGAAGUCGUAACAAGGUAGC